UUAAAAAUAAAAGUUCUCUUUAGUUCAAGUGGGUUUUGCAAGGUACUAAAGGGUUUAAAAAAUGGGGAAUGAAUUCUACAAAAAAUGGGGAAUAAAUUAUAAGGAAGAAAUAUUUUAAAAUAAAAGUUCUCUUUUGUUCAAGUGGGUUUUGCAAGGUACUAAAGGGUUUAAAAAAUGGGGAAUGAAUUCUGCAAAAAUAAAUAAAUAAAAUGGGGAAUAAAUUCUACAAAAAAGUAAAAUAAAAUGGGGAAUA
This is a long non-coding RNA of Melozone crissalis (California towhee), 253 nucleotides long. RefSeq lists it as uncharacterized. The record is from RefSeq and is a predicted model, not a curated record. NCBI's taxonomy places the organism in Eukaryota, Metazoa, Chordata, Aves, Passeriformes, Passerellidae. The transcript has 3 exons.